Molecule: unclassified non-coding RNA, 197 nt
Filed under: uncultured Nectriaceae
Lineage: Eukaryota; Fungi; Ascomycota; Sordariomycetes; Hypocreales; Nectriaceae
Description: sequence contains ITS1
Source: RNAcentral
CCGAGUUUACAACUCCCAAACCCCUGUGAACAUACCGUUUUCGUUGCCUCGGCGGGAGGCCCCGGGGGGUGGACGUCCGGCGCCCCGCGCGCCGCCGCCGCCCUCCCGGACCCCAUGGCUGCCCGCCGGAGGACCCCAAACUCUUGUUUUACCACACGUUUUCUUCUGAGUGAUGGCGAAAGCCGAAAAUCAAAUCA